Long non-coding RNA from Venturia canescens, 1816 nucleotides. RefSeq lists it as uncharacterized. The transcript is spliced from 3 exons. Lineage: Eukaryota; Metazoa; Arthropoda; Insecta; Hymenoptera; Ichneumonidae. The record is from RefSeq and is a predicted model, not a curated record.
GUCACACCAGAUAUUCCAUCACAUAAAAGUAAUGGGAAUGUUAGUUUGAAACCUUCCUGUUGAACCAGCAAAAAUGUAUUCGAGAUUCCGUCGGCUUGAUAAUUUCAAUACAACUCGAUUGCAUCAUUCUCGUGAGCAUCACACGACGUUUCUACAAUCAAGAUCUUCUUCUAUGAUGUAUUCGCUCAGUUAGCUUUGCGUCGGUGGAAAACAAAGAGAAGCAUAACAACAGUUUUCGCUUUAUUUCACCUCCAGUUCGGCCCCCGACUGUGUACCAGCUCGCAUGUUGUUCCUAUAAACAAAUAAAGAGGGCGAGUGAAAGUCUUGAGGGCUGAGCGUUUUGUGGGGCCGACUGAAUAAAAUUGGCCUGAGUCACGCGUCAUCUUUUUAUGGAAACAAACAUAUCAGUCGCGUAUACCAUGAAAUAAAUGAAAGGUGGAGAUCCGAGGCAAGUAAGGGGAAGAGUGAAGCAUGAGGAUGAAAAGUAAAUCCUUUUUCGUGGCAAGACAUUGAAUUACGGCUCACUAUGGAAGCAGGCAGAGAGAGGCAGUACAAGAGUUCUUACGUUGGAGGACCAAGAGGACAUGAAGAACGAAUAAGCCAAGCGGAAGAAGGAUUACUAGAAGUAGUAAUGGCAGCAGAAAUACAAGUGAAAUCAAAAAAGUAUAGCAAAACGUAUAUGAGAGAAUAGAAUGAAGAAAGAGGCUUCUUGGGAGGAAAAUUUAAGAAAUGUAUUAUGUUCUUAAGAAUACUCGAUGAUAGAGCAAAUGUAUUCUUUUGCUAUAUACAAGAAGAGUUCAAUUUUCGUCUGCUAGAAAGAGAAUAUAUCGAAAAACACUGGAAUGAAAAGGAGAAAUAAGUCAUCUGAUGGUUGAGAAAUGUUCGAGGUCAAAUUAGGUAAUUAUAACAAAAAAUCAUAAUUUGAGCUGUGUCAUCGGCUCUAUGUCAAAUGUAGAAAAAUAAUUUUUUCUAACAUUGGUUUGUACUAAUAUUAUAUAUAGGCUUUGCCAUAUCAUAAGUGCGAAAUACCUCUGCUGAGGGCAUAAUAAUUCAUCGCCAAUGUAGGCAAUUGUACAAAUCAAUGUCAUGUAUUGCAUUGUGUAAUAUAAUAUUUAUUGAUAAACUGGAAAAUUAUUAUUGGAAUAAUUGCCUCUCAAAUUUCCCCUACUGCAAAUCAGAAGUGUAGUUGAGUGACAAUAGGACCGAAAUUUAAAUGUCUGUGACUGCGAUAUCAAUGUUGAUAGAUCCUUAUAUUAAAAAACAUACGGCGUUCUACCUAAUUAGAUCUUCUAUGAAAUUAUGAAUAGAUAAAAAAUAGUCGUGAUCCUAAAAUGAUUGAAGAAAAAAAAACAAUCGUUUUGGGGCAGUGAAAUAACGACUCCAGCAGUAAUCGAUACUACUUUCAAUCUUUCUUUCUAUUGUCAAUUACUUUUACCGAAAAAUCCGCUAGAUUUUUUAGAACACCAAUGUGCUAUCAGUAACAGUAUUAAUCGUUCUGUUAAUUAGUUUUUGCAGUGUAGAUUAUUUGGAUUUAGCUAGUCAUUUAUAAAUCAUUCUGUGCCUGGAACAAGUUUUGCUUCUCACAUUUUUUUAUAUCCGAUCAUGAAUCAACGAAAAACUUUGACCCUGAAGACUCUCUGGAGGAGCGAAUUCAAAAUGAAUCGUGCAGAUUUUCGAGAAAAUAAUAUGAUACUUGGCGUCAAGACGCUGCCGCGUCUGACAUAAAAUGGAUAAAUAAUCAACUAGUCAGUAAUGCACGGCGAUUGAAAAAAGUUGUCGCGAAAAGAUGGCUUCUUAAAAUGGUUGAAAUGUUCAA